This 449-nucleotide ribosomal RNA is filed under the name uncultured bacterium. RNAcentral describes it as "partial 16S ribosomal RNA". It matches the Rfam family "Bacterial small subunit ribosomal RNA", at positions 29 to 523 of the family's 1533-position model. The record is from RNAcentral.
AACGAACGCUGGCGGCAUGCCUAACACAUGCAAGUCGAACGAAGCCUUCGGGCUUAGUGGCGCACGGGUGCGUAACGCGUGGGAAUCUGCCCUUUGGUUCGGAAUAACAGUUGGAAACGACUGCUAAUACCGGAUGAUGACGAAAGUCCAAAGAUUUAUCGCCAGAGGAUGAGCCCGCGUAGGAUUAGCUAGUUGGUGUGGUAAAGGCGCAUCAAGGCGACGAUCCUUAGCUGGUCUGAGAGGAUGAUCAGCCACACUGGGACUGAGACACGGCCCAGACUCCUACGGGAGGCAGCAGUGGGGAAUAUUGGACAAUGGGCGAAAGCCUGAUCCAGCAAUGCCGCGUGAGUGAUGAAGGCCUUAGGGUUGUAAAGCUCUUUUACCCGGGAUGAUAUUGACAGUACCGGGAGAAUAAGCUCCGGCUAACUCCGUGCCAGCAGCCGCCGUAA